UUCUGGGCUUUAUAAUUAUAAUAUAAUAUGUUUUCCUUCAGAAAAAUUAAGUUUAGUUGUAGAGUAAUUCUGUAACGAGAGCAGUCGGCUUUACCUGUAACGAAGCAGCAACACAAGUGAUGAAGAAACCGGCAAUUCUUUACCAUUACCCAUGCCCUGAUGGAGCUUUUGCCGCUUUGGCUGCUCAUCUUUAUUUUUCUUCUCUACCUAUAACUCCUCUUUACUUCCCCAACACUGUUUACUCUCCCAUCAGGGUGGAGGACCUUCCUCUAAAUCAAAUUGAUCAUGUUUACCUCUUGGAUUUUGUGGGUCCUUCUGGUUUUGUUCAGCAACUCAAGUCAAAAGUUGAACGUGUUGUUGUAUUGGACCAUCACAAGACUGCAAAAGAGCUGUUAGGUGGAGGGACAUCUGAGACUGAAAAUGUGAGCAAAGUGAUCGACAUGGAUAGAAGUGGGGCUACUAUUUCUUAUGAUUAUUUCAAAGAGAAGCUCAUAACCGGAAACAAUAAUGAAGCUGCUGACGGCAAUGCAGUAAAGAUUGGUGAAUUUGACAGAGUCAGGAGAUUAUUCGAAUAUAUAGAGGACAGAGAUUUGUGGAGAUGGAAACUCCCAGACAGUAAAGCAUUCAGCAGUGGGUUGGAUGAUCGCCAUAUUGAAUAUGAUGUCAAUUUGAAUCCCUCCUUGUUUCAACAGUUGCUUGCUUUGGAUCUAAAAUCUGUUGUAGAGCAAGGAAAGAUAAGCUUGUCGUACAAACAGAAACGUAUAGAUGAGGUCAUCGAGCAAUCAUUUGAGAUAGCACUUGGAGCUGGAGCGUUUGGUUGUUGCCUGGCAGUUAAUGCAGAUUCUUUGCCUGAGCUAAGAAGUGAGCUUGGGAACCAGUUGGCAGUCAAAAGUCGUAAUAUGAAGUUGAGGUUGUUUGAAGUUGGAUUAGGAGUUUCUGCCAGAAAACUACUAAGGAUUUAUCUUGAAAACGGGGUAUUGGAGCUAUUGUUUAUAAGGUACCUGAGCUUGAAAACAAUGAGAUGUUAAAGGUUAGCCUGAGGAGCAUUGGUGAUGAAGAUACGACAUCUAUCUCCCAGGCAUUUGGUGGCGGUGGGCAUCGAAAUGCCAGUUCAUGUAUGUUAAAAUGUGCUGAGUUUGAGAAUUGGAAGGUUUCAAAUAGGACCUCGACAUAGGUGAAGUACUAUUGCCCUGAAGAUCUAACUGAAGUUUGGCCCUUUCUCUUAGGCCGUCAACUAGGUCUCAGGUAAAGCCCACAGUCAAAAUUGAAUGCUGGAGCUUCUGUGGUACCUUCCUUUUGCGCACAUGAUCCUACUAACUAUUUGCUUUACAUCUUUUGUAUGAUGAUGGAAGUAGGAUAAUCCUCGACCCCUAAUAUAGAGGGGUUGUUUGGUUCCUGGCUAAAGUAUCUCAGCAUUAUAAUUGUUGGACUAAUUUAUCCCACUUGGAAGGUGGGAUAUCUUGGGAUUAAAUUUUUACUUUGUUUGGUUAAAGAUUGAAAUUUAUCAUCAAAGUAUAAAUUUAAUUCCAAACUUAAUCCUGAGAUACCCCACCUUAGGAUAUGUAUAAUUGCAGUUUUUGCUCAUGCUAGACUUCAGACCCUCUUAUAGUGUCAACUUUACAGUCAAAGGUGGUCUAUGUAGUUUUUCUUUUUAAUGUAAGAAACGACCUUCCUGGUCAAAAAGAAUGCCGAAAACUAAUUUAUGGCUAAUGAAAAAAAGAAUUAGUUCUAUACUGA
Non-coding RNA from Solanum lycopersicum (tomato), 1737 nucleotides. Lineage: Eukaryota; Viridiplantae; Streptophyta; Magnoliopsida; Solanales; Solanaceae. The record is from RefSeq and is a predicted model, not a curated record.